This 500-nucleotide ribosomal RNA is filed under the name Glaciozyma antarctica. Its description in RNAcentral is "partial large subunit ribosomal RNA". It matches the Rfam family "Eukaryotic large subunit ribosomal RNA", at positions 104 to 617 of the family's 3401-position model. The record is from RNAcentral. Lineage: Eukaryota; Fungi; Basidiomycota; Microbotryomycetes; Kriegeriales; Camptobasidiaceae.
GAGCUCAAAUUUGUAAUCUGGCCCUUUCAGGGUCCGAGUUGUAAUCUCGAGAAGUGUUUUCCGCGCCGGACUGCAUACAAGUCUGUUGGAAUACAGCGUCAUAGUGGUGAGAGCCCCGUAACUGAUGCAGAUGCCCGGUGCUUUGUGAUACACUUUCGAAGAGUCGAGUUGUUUGGGAAUGCAGCUCAAAUUGGGUGGUAAAUUCCAUCUAAAGCUAAAUAUUGGCGAGAGACCGAUAGCGAACAAGUACCGUGAGGGAAAGAUGAAAAGCACUUUGGAAAGAGAGUUAACAGUACGUGAAAUUGUUGGAAGGGAAACGCUUGAAGUCAGACUUGCUAUUCGGAAUUCAGCCGCAAGGUGUACUUUUCGAUUUGCAGGCCAGCAUCAGUUUUUGGGGGUGGAAAAGGGUGGAGAGAAGGUAGCAACCUCGGUUGUGUUAUAGCUCUUUACUGGAUUCAUCUUUGGGGAGUGAGGAUCGCAGUGCGCAAUUCAUUUUGCAA